AUUGAUUUAAUACAAAUUAAUUGGUAAUUUAUGCGUUGGUACACUCAUAACUAGAAAAAGAGUGAAUCACACAACUCAUAUUUAACUGGACUCACACUCUAAUUGCAAAAUUGUUCUUUUUUUCCAACUCAUAAAAUGAACUUAGGACUGGGUCAACUUUAUAGUCUGUUUUUUAUUAGACAUUUCAAGCGUCUUUUAACUCUACAUUUUGCUUGUAUCUAUGAAGUAUGAACUGAAGAUCUUGGCUAUGAAGCAAACUCGAGUCCUUUGGUAAGGACUGGUUUUCAUGCUGUUCCAUUUUUGUUUUGCCCUCUCCUAAUCGAGCAAUCAAACCAACCAUUCUGUUCGAAAACUUUUAAGACUCUAAAUGGAAAUUGGUCAUGUGACAUUCAUAUGAACACUUAACACAUCAUUGGACAAGUUUGUCAAUUUUUAUGUACUAAAUUUACAAGUAACUUCCAUUUCCAUUGAAGAAAGUAAGCUGAAAUAAUUAUUUCACUUUGGAAAAUCAUUAAUUAACGUAGGUUGGGAGUGCAAGAAAUAAUGAUAAUAAUAAGUGAGUAACAGAAAAUGUAUAUUUCUCCAUUCAUUUGGUCUGGAACCCUUCCAUAUUGAUUCACAUUUCCAUUCUUAGAAUCACUUAAAAGCAGGGGUAAAGGUAAACUAAGCAAUAAACCAGCACAGUUACUUCUUUUUGAAUUUGAAGGCUUCCAAUUUGUCUCAUGAUAUGUUGGAAUGACUAGUGAAGAUGUUUGCUCUUUACUUUUCAGAAAAAGAAUCUGGAUGUUAACUAGUUUAAGGUGGUGAUAUCCGGAAACUAAAGUAUUUUGUUUAAUCCAGGCCAGAUCGCUAUGCGCCAAUAUUUGGUGCGUAUUCUUAUGAUUUUUCCAAAUGGAGACCAAGUGUGCCAUUCGUGGAGCAGCUGAAGGCUUUUCAAGAACUCAUUGAUGAAGGAAAGGUAACAACUAUUCAAACCAAUGAAAGUUUUGACUUUCGGGUUCAACUGUAAAGCACCUGCAUCAGAGGUGGAAGUUAUGUAAAAACUAUUAAUAUUUUCAAGACUUGUUAUAAUGUGAAUUCAAACAUAGCAUCAUAGUUCUCUUGAGUUUGUCUUUGUGAAUUCCUAGUUGUGUCUGCAUCAAUGUAGAUGGAACAUACUGGGGAUUUAUGAGUUGGUACACUCAUACCUAGAAAAGGAGUGAAUCUUGAAAGCGUAACUCCUGAGAUGAUUCAUGAAUGUUACUAAAAAUUGGAGUGUUGCAUGCUCUGUGUAACUGCUUGAUGUCACUAAGCAUCUUUAACUUACAUGAUAUAGAUUCCUUUUGAAUGGUAUAGGUACGCUACAUUGGUGUUUCCAUUGAAACUUCAUAUGGAGUGAUGGAAUUUGUACAUGCAGCUAAAGUUGAAGGACUACCAAAGAUCGUCAGUAUCCAAAACAGUUACAGUCUGCUAGUUAGAACUCGUUUUGAAAGUAAGUCAUAUUCUGAUGCUGUGAGUCAGCUUGACAUAAAACUUGCUGUUGAUAUUUCUCUUUAGAUAGUUAUAUCAACUCCAUGAUGUGAAUAGGCUAGUUAAUACAUCAAAAUAUGUUUGAACUAAGUAUAAUAUACCUAAAAUGGUAAAGUAAAUGCCUCCAUUUUCUUUGAUUACUAAUUUGCAAUCUUAGUCCUUUGAGACACAUUUAAAUAAUACAAUAUGGUUCAUUAGUUGUUUCCUUUCUGUCAGUUUGUUUGACUGUCUUUAACCAAUCUUUGCUGAACUUGUUGAAAUUACAGUGUUUUACUUGUUUGAGUGCUAAGCUAAGUUAUACCUACCUCACUUGACCUAUAUCUUCUCAUGUAUUGGGAUGUCGACAUGGUUGGGCUGUGCAUCCAACCUGUUGCUUUUACUGUGUUGAGGAGCGUAAAAUCCCAACUAAAUCAACGUGAUUGAUUCUGAAUAUUGAUCAUUGAUCUGUACAGAUAUUUAGUUUAUUUCCUUCCUUUUAUGUAGACGUGUACAUUAAGGAAUGAUUCAUUCAGGCUAGUUUUCAACACCCUAAUUGGCUAUUGUAUUUGUAUAAAGGUUCUGUACCUCAUUCUAUUUUAUAAUCAAUACAUACGAAUUAUCAAUUCUUUCUUGGUAUCAGAGCGGGUUAGCCCACGUGUUAAAGUCCAACGGCCACACGUGCUCAACGUCACCCAAUAAGUGUUGUGCACGUAUUAAGCUUGAAAAUUCACCACCCGUGCGGGAGCGUAUGAGAAUGUGAAGGUAAAAAGUCUCACAUUGGAAAGUUGAGAAACCUAGCAAGGGCUUAUAAGGAGUUGAGCUACUCCCCAAUUGCCAAUUGAUUUUGGGGUGGAACCUCAACUUCCUUCAUACUGAUCGACACCUUUGUUGUGUGCAUUGGAUAGAGAUGUUUACAUGAUGCCAUGUUUACCUUUACCCUCCCUGUUUUUUGUAUACCAUUCUCUUAACUUCAUUGAGUUUGUAAUUCUAUUACUUGAUUAUUUGCAGUUGAUCUUGUUGAAGUUUGCCACCCGAAAAAUUACAACAUCGGCUUACUGGCUUAUUCUCCACUGGGUGUUGGAACUCUUACUGGAAAGUACAUAGAUAUCAAUUCCGAAGCUGCGAAAAAAGGGAGGCUGAACCUUCUCCCCGGCUACAUGGAAAGAUAUAACAAAUCUAUUGCCAGGGUACGUUAAUAUUCAACAUGUCAUAUAGAUAAUAGAUCAUGUAGACUAAAUUCAAAUAAACACCAAACAUGCACGAUGUAUUUAGUUAUUUUAUUAUCUAAUAAAAAUAUGAACUGCUCUGAUAUGGGGAUUUAUCAUCAGUGUUUACUGUUGAUUUGAAUAAAGCACAAGUAGGUUGAUUGCUUCCAACUUGUCGUUGGAUAUAUUAAAAACCAUGGCCGGACAGCAGCAUGAAAUAUAGUUUGUACACUGGAUGUUUUGGAAAUAGUUGGUUUGCCUUGCUUGAUGAGUUACUUUAUGUUCUGGAUAUAGAUUGAUGAGGAUAAUUUCCAUUACAGCUUGUUGAUUUUCUGCCUUAAUGUUACUUUUUCUGUUUUCAGGAAGCAACAAUAAAGUAUAUCCAGACAGCCAAGAAGCACGGGCUAACUCCGGUUCAGCUUGCACUUGGGUUUGCACGGGACCGUCCAUUUGUGACAAGUACAAUCGUUGGUGCAACUUCUGUGAACCAACUGAAGGAAGACAUUGAUGCUUUCCUGUGGACAGAGAGGCCUUUGCCACCGGAAGUGGUGGCUGACAUUGAAGAUAUUUUCAAGAGAUACAAAGACCCUCCCAUGUUUUGAAAAAAAGUAGCCUAGGAAGUGUAAUUAUUGUUUUCACUUCACGUGUCUGGUUUAGAUGACAAUCGAAGGUCAAUGAUAUCCCUUGUUUGACCUUGGGAAUUCCGGUUUUGUGCGGUGAGCAGAAGCAUGAGAUUAACAAGGCCUCGACUUCCUUUUCAGGAAUUUUCUGUAUCCUCCUUUGUUUUCUUUUUCUUUCGUUUCCUCUAAUUUGCGCAAGUGUUAUCUUCAUGCUUGAUAAACUGUCAAGGUUGAUCAGUAUGGCGGGGCGGGGUCUGUAUUUUUCGUUUCUUUCUUCUUUCCCUUUUCACCAAUGGAGAGCCUGGGUUAACAUACUCAAAUGGUGUCAUGUCGUGUUCAAUUUGGUUCACAUAUAUUAUGAGGUAAAGUUAGAAAAUUAGGAUAUUGUCAACAUUGAUCUGCUAAUUUCAUGUAAUUGUUGUAUCAUAUUAAAAAUUGCUACAUUUAACUCCAAUAUUUUGCUUCGAUCUUGGAUGACGAGGAUGUAUUGUUUUCUUCUUAAUUGUUGAAUGGAAGUUUACCAAGAAGAAUAUAGGAGGAAGGCUUUGGGGUCCUUUAGAAGAAAUUUGAAGGAUACUGUCCCCUCACCAUUUGUAUAAUUUAUCAUAAAUUUAAUCUGAUGCCAGUAUGCCUUCUUUCAAAACCCAACAGAUACUUAAUUCUAAACCCAAUUGGUAAGUCACUUUUCCAACCUGGUAAACGCGGUGCCUUAUACUUGCCUUUUCUCUUUUAGCUCCAUCAAAUCCAGGGCUUCGGGCAACCACGUAUGUACGGCGCGGCACUUGCUUUUCUAACUUGUAAAAAAAUAACUUGAAACGUUUCAAAGUAGAAAGAGAGUGGCCAUUUUCCUUCUGAUUUGCUUUCCAGGUCAGUGUAACACAACCCUUCGCACAAAUCCUUUGUGUGAUCUCGACCUGAUUGCUUUAAGUUCUACUUUUUCUUUUUCUUUUUUUUGGGUGAAAAGACGGGGUCAUGCCCAAAAGAAAACAUUAAACUACAGUCCGAGGCCUACAGAUACCACGCAGGUAGGGAUCGCAACGGGUCCGGUAGGGGACGGGUAUGACAAUACCACCCCUGUCCCCGCUCAUGAAAGGUACAGAGACCCAAAUUAAGGCAAGAGCCCAAGUUAGUAAGUCUAUCAGCCAUCAUAUUGCCUUCACGAUAGACAUGAUAAAUAGAGCAGGCCCAACAUUUUUUGAUGUAGUCCUAGCAGCCCCAUAACAAUGUAACAAGUGGGUGGAGGGCAUCCACAGCUUUAUUGAGAAGAUGCACUACAACGGCUGAGUCAAAUUCCAGGCACAACAUCACUGCAGCCCAUAUCCCAAACAGAUUUUAGAAACCAAGUCCUACUUUUUCGUAUGCGUAAAAUGGUCCACUUAAAAAGAGUUCUUCUGGUGUGAUCUCGACCUCUCACACCAAAUUUGAUCUUGCUUAUCUCAAGCACUGAAAUCAUGGUGUAUCGCUGGUGUGUUUUCUCUUAUCACCCUAAUUAUAGGCUAAUCAUGUAUUUAAGUUUGGCAUUGUUGUGCUGUGAAAAUAAUCGCUGUCAGAUUUGCUGUGAGAGAAAUCGGAUGUGAGAUAAAACAGUUUGGCAUUUGGUAAAAUUUUUGUUAAAAGUGUUGUUGGUAUUGAUUUUACGCAUAAUUAGAAAAUGAUUGCCACAUAAUCAUUAAACCCAGCGUCUCUUCGAAACUUAUUCUUGCAUAAUCAAAAAAUGAAAGCACAUUAUUAGCUGCUUUCCCUUGUAGCUUUCUCUCACAAUAAUUUUUAACAAUAAGUAAUUUUCUUACAGUUUACCAAAUGGGUUGGGUUUCUCAAAAUUUUUUAAAAAAUCACUUAUCACCCCAAAUAAACAAUGUCAAACAGGUACUUAGGGUCAUAAAUUUUUUUAAAAAUAUAAAGUUACACGUUGGAAAUUUCACAAAAUAAAAUACUAUAUGAUAAGUGGUUCAUUUACUAAUAACAUCAAAACCUUUUAUAUAAAAAUGCCGCAUAUACCAAACUAUGCAGGUAGUUAAAUUGUUAAAAUAAUUGAACUACAAUACAUAAUAAGCUUCAUCCUUGGAACGAUCACAAAAAGACAAAAAAACAAAAAAACAAAAAAACAUAUGGGAAACAUUUGUCAAUAGAAGUUUCAGGAUAGAAUCCUUUCAUCAUUGCGAGAAACUUGUGACGAAAUCAGUGACGUAAUCAACUUAAGAUAAUGAAGGAAUGGCUGGUGUGCCUACCCCUUUCAGUCAAAUACGGCGUCUGUUUCCCAACGCAUUGUGAGAGAAAAACACUACAAAUACGACAAGAGCAAGCAACAAACAAAGAAAGAUGAUCUUGUUGUAAAUGUGGAGCCCAAAUGCCUAUAAAUAGGGCUUCUCCAUACUUGUAAUAACACACAGAUAUACAUGAUAGAGAACAAACAUUCUCUUCUAUUCCUUCUCUCCAUCUCAAUUCUCUCUCCAAUUUCUUCUAGAUUUAUAACACGUUAUCAGCACGAUUCUCUAACCAGCUGAGUUCUCUGAAAAAACCCAGUCAGAUAAACCAACACACACAGAGAGAAACAGAGAGAGGAAAAAUGCUAGAUCCGAGAAAUGAUCUGCUACCUCCACCUUCAUCCCCCACCAACUCCUCCAUUUCUUCUUCUGAUCUCGACACAGAGCCAACAGCGCCGAGACCCCCAAGCCAACAACAACCUUCUGGUCCUUUAGAUCUGCUGCUAUUGAAUCAAUUCCAAAUAAAGUCACUGGCUCAAAUAACUCCACUUAACCACGUUUCUUCCUCUUCUUAUUCUGUUCGACACCUAAUCCAGACUCUCUCUUUCGUUUCCACGAAAUAUUUUUGUUUGCUGCUCCUACUUGCAUUUUCUUUUCUCUGAAAUAAAAAAAAAAAACGAAAGCAAAGGGAUAAACCCAAGAGGAGGCGAAUCAUGACCAUGAUUGUUCACUCGAAGCUCAACUUCAUUGUGCUUUGCUUCUCCACCUUGUUCCUGCUUCUACCAUUCACUUAGGCUACGGAUGUCAAAUAUUGUGGUCAGACAGAUGAAUAUGCUGUGAAGGUCCAGGGAGUCGAGAUAUUGCCUGACCCAGUGGUGAGAGGCAGGCCAGCUACCUUUAACAUCUCGGCCUCAACAGGCAGUCACAAUUCUCGGCCUCCUUGCGAACAACAUCGAGAACGGAAUCGAUCAACUCGGCACCUUCGGUGUAAUGACCUUUGGCCCAGUUGUUGCCGGCACCGGACUGGCCGAAGACGAAGUUGUCAGGGCGGAAGAUCUGGCCGUACGGACCGGAUCGGAUGCUGUCCAUGGUACCGGGCUCAAGAUCCAUGAGGACGGCGCGAGGGACGUACCGGCCGCCGGAAGCCUCAUUGUAAUAGACGUUGAUCCUCUCGAGUUGAAGAUCGGAGUUGGCGUCUCCACGCGGAGUACGAUGGAGUUGUUGUGUAUGGGGGUCCGAAUGGAGGGUACUCCAAGGGUGGUACUGUGAGGACUUCUCUGGUGUGUAAAGAAAAGGGUCCAUGCUACAAGAAGAAAGUUGACUUCCCCGAAUUGGUCUUCCAAUUCAAAGGUCUAGGCGGUAAUGGUGGACCUGCGAUUAUUUUGGGCAAUUAUCAGCAGCAAUGAUGAAAGCAAAAGGAGAUCCAACAGCAAAUCCACCGAAAGAAAUAUAAAAAAACAAUAAUAAAGAAAAAAAAAAUUUAUGCUUUCUAUUACUUUGUUAUUCCUCUACAGUAUUUAAUAAACCAAUUGGUGCAGGUGUGCAGAUUACAGGUGGAAAGCAUUUGAUUUGAGAGACAAGCAUGAUGCCUUCCACAAACGAUAAUAAUAUUAUAUGCUAUACUAUUUGAUCGUGGUGUUGAUAAGAACCCACCAAUAAUUGCCUUUACUUUAUCGCAAAUUUACUUUUAUUUAAAGUAUGAUGUGGAAUUGACCCUCAUACUUUAUAAAAUUUAAUUUACCGCACAUUUAUUUUAUUUACUGUAUGGUGUAGGAUCAUUACCCAUACGACAGUAUUUAUUUAAAAGGGUGGUGCGGGUUUAUCGUCCACGCCUUUACUUUUAUUUAAAUGUAUGGAGCAGAAUUAGUGCCCAUACAAGCACGUUUACUUUAUCGCAAAUUUACUUUUACUUAAAGUAUGAUGUGGAAUUAACCCUCAUACUUUAUGAAUUUACUUUACCGCACAUUUAAUUUUAUUUAAGGUAUGGUGCGGGAUUAACGUCCAUACAGCAAGCAAUUUAAUUUAUGAAUUUAUUUUACCGCACAUUUACAUUUAUUUAAAGUAUGGUGCGGGUUUAUCGUCCAUACCAGUAAUUUAUUUACCAGCAAUUUAUUUUAUGAAUUAAAUGUGCUGUAUGAUGAGUUUUUACAGUAUGCAGAUCAGGACCAGAAGUUCCUUGAUCCUCAUCAUACAAUUACAUCAGGACUUGAAGAUCCUUGAUGAUGAUGUUAAUAUGAGAACUGGCAGUCUCUCCGGUACUAUAUUUGUAAACAUGUGAUUGGACUUGAGGGUCCUUGAUCCCUGACAUGUAAAUAAGGACCUGGGGUUCCUUAAUGAUGUAACAGUACCGUAUUGUUUCAUAAUGCCGUACACAUGGAUGAUAACUGUACUGGAAAAUGUACUGUCCACAUGAAUAGAUACGUAUUCAUGACUUGAUGAAUAGUACCGGAUAUAUGAAUAGUGACGUAUACAUAAAUAUUAACCAUUUUGGGUAAAUCGUCACUAUAUUCAAAAAGGGAACCUGCAGUUCCUUAAACUCAUGGAUGAGCAAUUAAAUGAGAUGCCAGAAGUUCCUCAAGAUAUGGACAAUUAUGUAAGGGCUUGCAGUCCAGAAAUAUGUACAGAAAAUUGUAAAAAUGUCCAUACCAUGAGAAUAUGUGAUUUUGGCUUGAGGUUCAAUAUCUAACAGUAUUGAGAACCUGAAGUUCCAACAAUUAAAUGGACAACCCUUGAGGUAUUAUUGCAAAUUGUGGUACGCCACAUAUUUCUUUGGCAUAAGAGAAUGAUGAAUUGAGGCUCCCCACAUAUUUUGUUAUAUCUGGGCCGGAAGCUCAUGAACCCAAAUAUAUGAGAUAUUAGCGUGGUUUUUACUCAAUCCAUAUUUCAUGUUCAUUUGAAAAGGGCGAAUAAAUUCUGAGUUUGUGUUUAGCCCAGGCCAAAAGUUCCAUACGUUGAAAUAUGAAAUUUGGGAGAGUCGAUGUGGUUAUUUGAACCUAUAAGGCACAAGGUUCCAAACCGUCAUUUUGAAAAGACGUAAAAACCAUAGGUGUAAGUUUAAGAAUGUGCGCAAUUAUUAUAACAAGAACAUACAACAGAUAGAUUUUUUUUUUCCACCUGCAAUGAAGGUGCAGGCCCUAUAAAAUCUAUAAAAUUACAUUAUGUUCUGGAAGCCUCUGAAGGAAGAGGACGGCGCCUCUUAAGCUUAGCCAUGAGCCUCUCGUGAUCUCCCAAAAUUCUUUCAUUGGAGACCUGCAGCAUGUCUAGCCUUCUCAGUGUAUCAACAGAGUACGAACUCACCAGUUUCAACAAGGCAUUAUUCUCUCCUUUAAGUUUCUCAACCUCCUGUUGAGACUCAUGAAGCAUUCUUUGGAGAGACGAAUUUUCAGUUGUUAACCUCUCAACCUCGUUUGCUUUGGCACGCAAACAAUCAGCCAUGUUAGAAACAGAAGCAGCACUCUGAAUGCUAAAAGCCAUUGAGUCAUCAAUAGCCUCUUCCUCUGAUCUCCCUGUCAACAACAUUUCAUCCAUUGGAAUAAUGAAAUUCCUAGCUACUAUGACAGCAGUAGCAUCAUUCAUCAUCACAGAAUCAUUAACUAUGAUAUGACGAUUUUGGGAUACAAAGGAUGGACGCCAAACUUUGGUGUCAUUGGUUGUUGUGGGAGUAUCAUUUAAAUUGAAAUAAUUUGGGCAGGAAGAAGAGGAAGCCAUUUUUAAGAAGGUUUUGAAGAAAGUCUUAGAAAAACUAAAGUUUCAGAGAAUGAAGGAAGUUAUGUUGAAACGCAGUUGCUCCAAUCAAGUUUUGCAAAGGCAAUAUCUAUAGGAGGAAAUAUGGCUACAGUUUUCCAGGAUCCCAAUAUCUUCUCGGAUCCCCAUAAUAUUUUUUUUCUUUCCCAGAGUCCAAAACUUCACGUGGCCUCCAUUAAUGUUUGUCGGCACUUUCGGCGUUUUCAAAGUAUUAUUUUCGUCAAAAGCCGAUCUUGAUUUGCGGAUUUCACGGAGCUAUUUUUUCAAAAGUAUCCCGAGAAUCUCGCAAUUUUUCUAUGGUUAAUUUGAAAUUCACCGGUUCUACUUAUUCAUUGUAUUUGUGUAGAAAUGUGUUACUAACGAAAUUUUCUUUGCAGAAGACAUCCAGUUUUCUCCAUACCUAGUGAUGCGAUAUCUACUUAUUUUUCUUAUCAGUGAGCACUCAAUAUGCCCGAGAAGCAAGACUAUCUCUGAUCAUCCAUUCAGGAAGCGAGACUAUCCCUGAUCACGUUUCCGCCACAUCAGGGAACUGUGAAGGCAACCUCAUGCUCUAAUCUCCGGAAGUUCUUCUAGACUAAAAGAAAUGAGAGCUUAUUGUUUGCUCCCACCAGCUUCCUUCCUUGAUUGCUUACCUUCUCUUGCAAUCAAUAUCACAUUAUUUUUGCAUUUUUUCUCUUUUUAUAACUCUCUGUUCAUAAGAGAUUUUAUUUCUUUAGAAUGAACAUCUGAAGAAAGAAUCCAUGGAGUGAUCCUAACUCUGAGGGUUAUUUGUUUUUGACAGAGAAAAGAGUUGUGAUUUUUGCUCUUGCAGGAUAUAACUAGAUCAUCAAGCGCUACAUUAUAUUUACUGGGCCGAUACGAGCUUGAAUGAUACUUGAGAAAAGUUUCUCCCACCUAAGGAUGUAAGCAAUACUUGUGUUAUUUUAUGCUUAUAUACUUAUUUGAUAUUUAUCUUGAAAAGUAACCAAAUGGGGAGAUAAGUCUGUUCCAAAAGAAUGGCUUGUAUGUAUCCAUGAAUUAUUAAUGCAAAUUUUACAGAUUGCAAGUUGGAUACAUUGAUAAUACACUGCACAGAUUAAAGUCUCAUAAGAACAGAAUAUGGGUAUAGCAGUGAUCAAUAUGAUGCACGCCUGUUGCGUAGCAAAUGAUGUGGAUUGAAGUCCCGAAAGGACAAUCCUUUGACAUGUCAAUAUUGAUAUUAUACACGCCUAAUGCGUAGCAAAUUAUAUGGGUUAAAGUCCCAUAAUAUGGGUUAAGGUCCCAGAAAUUAAUUGACAUGUAUGUAUUAAUCUGUGGCAUGCCUUCAGCAUGACAGAUAUAUGGGUUCUAAAUGUUCCAAACUCCCUACAUGGAGAUUAUCCACGCCCUACUGCUAAAUAACGCUCCAAUGGAGGUUAUAAUCCACAUUCUUACAUAAUAAAAGCCCCCUGAAGUGGCUUGGGUACCCAAAAGCAAAGAAAUGCUUAUAAUUGAUGCAUGCGCAUGCAAAUGAGAAUGGUGGGAUCAUGAAUUGAUGAAUGACAAUUUUUUUGGUUUUAGAGUAGCUACUCAAAUCAUCAAUGGGCUGUGUUGAUUGGAACCACGUUCAAUUAUUAAAUGUCGACAAUAUCAUUGGCCAAAAUGGAACGAGGUAAUUCCAUUAUAGAUGAGAAUGAACGUGAAAGAACAAACCCACAGUACGAACCCCAAAAGAUGUUAAUACUGAAAUUUAUACUUGGGUGUUCGGAAUAAAAGGGAAUAUACAUACUUUGUAUGACACACUGUUUCUGGCAGAAACAAGGAAUGUUGGGUUUUCUCCAUAUUUACAGAUUCAAUUGUGCCCCCCUUAUUACACAAUUACGGAGACCAACAUAUUAUCUUUAAGGGUUAUUAAAUGCACGGAGCAUAUCGCCAGAAGCGAUUUCCUAAAGAUGUAUAAAUAGCUGGGUAAAAGCUAUAUAAUGUGUCAUAAAGUUUAAUCCCUUUUAGACAAAAUCCGUUGAGAGGAUUGACAUUGCAUAAAGCAAGUCCCUAAAGGACAUGUGCUUGAAGCACAAAAUUUGUACUCAAUAUUAAUAUGCAUAAAUUACCUCAGUGAGUACAUUGAUUAUAAUGUGAUUGCAACACAUUAAAGCUUCUGCAAAAUUCACGAAAUAUUUAUCUCGACUUAAAAAUCGAGCAUUAUGCCAACGAGGUUCUUGCUUAUACUAAGAAAGUCUUAUCCGUUGGUCCUUAAAUGUUUUUCCGGAAGUAUACUAGACCAGAUAGAGCUCAGCUCCAUCACCACCACUUUGGAAUGGCUAGUCAUAAAUUUUUCAGGGGGAGAUAUUCACAAAAGGGAGCGUGGUUUUAAUAAAGACCUCCAUACACUGUACUCUUUUUCCUUCAUCCAGGUUUUUAUCCCACUGGAUUUUUCCUGGUAAGGUUUUAACGAGGCAGUGUCGCUCAAGAUUGACUCAUAGAAGCAGUGUCAACUACGAUAUUCAGAAAGGUGAUCAACAGUAUGACUUAAAGAUAUUUUGCUAAGCAUCAGGGGGAGCGUGCCAUCAAUAAAGAUCUUUAAACACUGUACUCUUUUUCCUUCGUCCAGGUUUUUAUCCCACUGGGUUUUUUCUGGUAAGGUUUUAACGAGGCAGUGUCGCACGCACGUCAAUAUAUACAGAAUUUUAUGUUACACAUGAUUAUGUACUCUUUUUCCCUUUGACCAGUUUUUGUCCCACUGGAUUUUUACUGGCAAGGUUUUUAACGAGGCAUAUUCUAUAUCAUUUGUGGUCUCCAAGGGGGAGUGUUGUAAAUGUGGAGCCCAAAUGCCUAUAAAUAGGGCUUCUCCAUACUUGUAAUAACACACAGAUAUACAUGAUAGAGAACAAACAUUCUCUUCUAUUCCUUCUCUCCAUCUCAAUUCUCUCUCCAAUUUCUUCUAGAUUUAUAACAGAUCUAAUUAAGUACUGGGAAAAUUGUCAUGGCAACAGAUAAGGUUAAGCUUUUAGGGUAUGUUUUCAGUCCAUUUUCCCGUAGAGUGGAGUGGGCUCUGAAGCUGAAGGGCAUUGAUUAUGAGUAUGUAGAAGAAGAUAUCUUCAACAAAAGCCCUCUUCUUCUGCAACUCAAUCCAGUUCGCAAAAAAGUUCCGGUUUUGGUUCAUGGCAACGAAGUGGUCUCUGAGUCAUUCACUAUUCUUGAAUAUAUUGAUGAGACAUGGAAGCAAAACCCAUUGUUGCCUCAAGAUCCUUAUGCAAGAGCCAUAUCACGCUUUUGGGCUAACUUCACGGAAGAGAAGGUGAGCCAUAUGCUAGAAUUAAUUUGUUUCAAUUAUAUCUAGUGAAUGCAUCAAAAUCAUCUUAAUUAAGGCGAGUUUUGUUGCAUUAGUCACUCACGUGCAUAUAAACGAUUUUGAACGGUUGAUGGAUGUGCACGAUCGUUGUGGAUAGCAUUUUUCCUUACCAUACAUUUACUUACUAUUACAACUGGGUUAAAAACUUGAGUGGGAAAACAUGUGGAGAGAGGUUCGAAACUCCCAGACACCCAAUGAAUAUUUGUGUAACCUCCAUCCUCCAAUCACUUGUACUAAAAGAAAUUAAAAAAGAGUACAAGCUUAUAGUUUCUCAAAUGUUGCACGGAGCUACCGGCCACUCAAAUCUAAUUUUGCUUUCACCAAUGUUAUACUAAGUAAGAGAUAUGAUUAUUGGUGAAUAUUUUACAAACAUAUCUUUUGUGAUAUUAUUUCAUAUAUUGACUGACUUUUAAUUUCUUGUUAGGUUCUGGAUGCUGGAUUUACAGCUUUAAUAUGCUCCACAGGAGAGCAACAAGAAAAGGCUUUGAAAUCAACUAUUGAGGCCUUGGAACACAUAGAAGGAGACCUCAUGGGAAAGAAGAUUUUAGGAGGGGAAAGCAUUGGGUAUUUGGACAUUGCAAUGGGAUGGAUCUCUUACUGGCUGCCUAUUUGGGAGGAAGUAGGCUCCAGGCAGGUUUUGGACCCUUCAAAAUUUCCUGCAACCAUUUCAUGGAUCAACAAAAUUCUUAGCCACCCUGUGAUCAAGGACAACUUACCUCCUCGAGACAAAGCGGUUGCUUAUUUUCAUGGGAGGAGAAAUUUUUACACUUCUGGGAAGACUUAGCCAUAGAUGCUCGUCUGCCCAUAUUGUACUAGUUUCUAAAACUAGAGAAUAAAUGUGACAUAUGUAAUAUGGUUAAGGUGUGUAUUAAGAGUAUUUUACCUUUGCUCCUGAAGUGCUAUGUUCGAAUCUCUCAUCCUAAUUACAAUUGUUUUAUAAAUUCUAUAGGCACACGCUUCAUGCAUGACAAUUGGCCUUUUUUUAUACUGAAUAUUUGUUUUAUUUUAUGAUAAUUUUCAAAUUAAACUACCAAACGCAUGCUUAAAUUUUAAAAACACUAAUUUGUUUUCUCAUUUCAUUUUCAAAAAAUAUUUUAUGAAAAUAAUUUUAGAAAACAUUACCAGACGGACUCUAUAAAUGUUUCACCAUCGUCUACUCCCUUACACUUUAAUUUAUUGGGCCUAAAAUGAUAUUAUUGAAGUCUGGUUGACCCAAUUAUGGAUGUCCGGUCCGCGUACCCAAGCACUUCCUCUCUACUUAACACGUGUGUCACAGUCUGUGUGUCUCACAGAGGUCCAUUGAUUUUUGAAACGGUUGGAAUUCGACAAGGCCUAAGCAGCGGAGCAAGAAAGCCUUAUCGGUCACAAUGGCCUCUUGCCCCACCGCCUUUUUCUGCAACCACGCAGCAACAGCAGCACCGUGGUCAUCUUCCAGAACCGGAACCAGAAGAAGUUUCUGUAGACGGAGCUCUGUGAAAGCAACUAUCAAUGCCAAGCUCGACCAGAAGACGUCGUUGCAGUACAAGAAGCUCGGAGACUCAGACCUUGUAAUUAGCGAAAUCACUCUGGGAACCAUGACAUUCGGCGAGCAAAACACAGAGAAAGAAGCUCAUGAGAUUCUCAGCUACGCAUUCGAAAAUGGGAUUAACGCUUUGGACACUGCAGAAGCUGUAGGUGCUUGUAGAUUGCUUGAAUUUUGUUGGCCUCAGUUUAAAUUUGUUUCGUUUGGGUUUUGAUUCAAGUUUAAAUCUUUUUUGUUUGUUGCAGUACCCAAUUCCAAUGAAGAAGGAAACUCAGGGAAGCACUGAUCGUUUUAUCAGCAGCUGGCUCAAGUCUCAACCCCGUGAUAAGGUACUUGAUGGUUAUGCUGUCACAUUGAAUUAGGACCAUUGAUAUGGUUGAAUGAUGUCUGAAUGUGCUGUCCUGGUUCACAGUGAUAACAAGGCAAGGAUCAUCAUUUUAACUCGUUACUAUGCUGUGUAAAUAGGUUAUUUUGGCAACAAAAAUAGCUGGGUAUUCGGAGAUGGCAAGUUAUCUGCGUGACAAUGCCACGGUCUUGCGGGUGGAUGCUGCAAACAUUAAGGAAAGUGUAGAGAAAAGCCUUAAGCGCCUUGGCACAGAUUACAUUGAUUUGAUACAAAUUCAUUGGUAAGUUUAUUGAUCAAACUUCACACAUUAUACAAACUUACAUGCUACAUUGUCACCUGGUUUGUGAUUUUUGUAGUAUCACACACUAUGUACCCGUUCUGAUAUUUAACUCGAACUUUACAUGGACUCACACUCUAACUGCAAAAUUGUUCUUUUUUUCCUGACCCACUUGUGGUAUCACACAACUCAUCAAAUGAACUUAGGACUGGGCCAACUUUUUAGUCUGUUUUUUAUUAGACAUUUCAAGCGUCUUUUAACUCUACAUUUUGCUUGUAU
This 14995-nucleotide long non-coding RNA is filed under the name Prunus persica (peach). RNAcentral describes it as "long non-coding RNA (PPER_LNC000106)". The record is from RNAcentral. Lineage: Eukaryota; Viridiplantae; Streptophyta; Magnoliopsida; Rosales; Rosaceae.